Molecule: small nuclear RNA, 162 nt
Organism: Mustela putorius furo (domestic ferret)
Lineage: Eukaryota; Metazoa; Chordata; Mammalia; Carnivora; Mustelidae
Gene: U1
Rfam family: U1 spliceosomal RNA
About the family: U1 is a small nuclear RNA (snRNA) component of the spliceosome (involved in pre-mRNA splicing). Its 5' end forms complementary base pairs with the 5' splice junction, thus defining the 5' donor site of an intron. There are significant differences in sequence and secondary structure between metazoan and yeast U1 snRNAs, the latter being much longer (568 nucleotides as compared to 164 nucleotides in human).
Source: Ensembl
UCCCCUGCCUGGUAGGGGAGAUACCAUGAUCAUGAAGGGGGUAUUACAAGGGCAAGGUUUAUCCAUGGCACUAUGGAUAUGCUGACCCCUGCAGUUUCCCCAAACAUGAGAAAUGGGACUACAUAAUAUGUGGUCGUGAGGACUGGGUUCAUGCUUUCCCCC